CGCGGUCCAACCUGCAGUCGACGGUGAAGCAGGAGCUUGCUCUUGUGGAUCAGUGGCGAACGGGUGAGUAACACGUGAGCAACCUGCCCCUGACUCUGGGAUAAGCGCUGGAAACGGCGUCUAAUACUGGAUAUGUGACGUGACCGCAUGGUCUGCGUUUGGAAAGAUUUUUCGGUUGGGGAUGGGCUCGCGGCCUAUCAGCUUGUUGGUGAGGUAAUGGCUCACCAAGGCGUCGACGGGUAGCCGGCCUGAGAGGGUGACCGGCCACACUGGGACUGAGACACGGCCCAGACUCCUACGGGAGGCAGCAGUGGGGAAUAUUGCACAAUGGGCGAAAGCCUGAUGCAGCAACGCCGCGUGAGGGAUGACGGCCUUCGGGUUGUAAACCUCUUUUAGCAGGGAAGAAGCGAAAGUGACGGUACCUGCAGAAAAAGCGCCGGCUAACUACGUGCCAGCAGCCGCGGUAAUACGUAGGGCGCAAGCGUUAUCCGGAAUUAUUGGGCGUAAAGAGCUCGUAGGCGGUUUGUCGCGUCUGCUGUGAAAUCCCGAGGCUCAACCUCGGGCCUGCAGUGGGUACGGGCAGACUAGAGUGCGGUAGGGGAGAUUGGAAUUCCUGGUGUAGCGGUGGAAUGCGCAGAUAUCAGGAGGAACACCGAUGGCGAAGGCAGAUCUCUGGGCCGUAACUGACGCUGAGGAGCGAAAGGGUGGGGAGCAAACAGGCUUAGAUACCCUGGUAGUCCACCCCGUAAACGUUGGGAACUAGUUGUGGGGUCCAUUCCACGGAUUCCGUGACGCAGCUAACGCAUUAAGUUCCCCGCCUGGGGAGUACGGCCGCAAGGCUAAAACUCAAAGGAAUUGACGGGGACCCGCACAAGCGGCGGAGCAUGCGGAUUAAUUCGAUGCAACGCGAAGAACCUUACCAAGGCUUGACAUAUACGAGAACGGGCCAGAAUGGUCAACUCUUUGGACACUCGUAAACAGGUGGUGCAUGGUUGUCGUCAGCUCGUGUCGUGAGAUGUUGGGUU
This 1025-nucleotide ribosomal RNA is filed under the name uncultured prokaryote. Its description in RNAcentral is "bacterial SSU rRNA". It matches the Rfam family "Bacterial small subunit ribosomal RNA", at positions 43 to 1081 of the family's 1533-position model. The record is from RNAcentral.